RNAcentral lists this unclassified non-coding RNA (207 nucleotides) under uncultured fungus. RNAcentral's name for it is "sequence contains ITS1". Lineage: Eukaryota; Fungi. The record is from RNAcentral.
UUGAUUCAUUUGUUUUGAUUCAGAUAAUCGUGUUCAAGAGUUUGAAAUGUUUCCAUCGGCAGGCACACGCAGGCCUAGGCAAGCGAUGGCAUGGUAUGCCAAAGACCCGCCGAAGCAACAGAGGUAGGUAGAUUGGGUUUGGAAUCGGGCCUGCCGAAGCUGACCCUUUUCUCUGUAAUGAUCCUUCCGCAGGUUCACCUACGGAAA